CCUACGGGUGGCAGCAGUGGGGAAUAUUGCACAAUGGGGGAAACCCUGAUGCAGCGACGCCGCGUGAGUGAAGAAGUAUUUCGGUAUGUAACGCUCUAUCAGCAGGGAAGAUAAUGACGGUACCUGAGUAAGAAGCCCCAGCUAACUACGUGCCAGAAGCCGCGGUAAUACGUAGGGGCCACGCGUUAUCUGGCUUUACUGGGUGGAAAGGGAGCGUAGACGGCAUGGCAAGUCUGAAGUGAAAGCCCGGGGCUCAACCGGGGAACUGCUUUGGAAAAUGUUAGGCUGGAGUGCAGUAGAGGUGAGUAGAAUUCCUGGUGUAGCGGUGAAAUGCGUAGAUAUUAGGAGGAACACCAGUGGCGAAGGCGGCUUACUGGACUGUAACUGACGUUGAGGCUCGAAAGCGUGGGGAGCAAACAGGAUUAGAUACCCCAGUAGUC
RNAcentral lists this ribosomal RNA (440 nucleotides) under uncultured bacterium. RNAcentral describes it as "partial 16S ribosomal RNA". It matches the Rfam family "Bacterial small subunit ribosomal RNA", at positions 338 to 795 of the family's 1533-position model. The record is from RNAcentral.